GUUCAAGAAUUCACGGCUUGAUUAUUACAACAAUAACUGGGAGAAAAAUCGGAUAAUAUCAUGUAAAUGAAGGGGGAAAUUGAAAAAUAAAAUAUUAGAAUCGGCUGAUUGUGCGUUUCUUUGGAUUGCGUUCACGAGCAGCGAUUUCAUCGGAUCCGUUUAUAUAUUUUUUUAAUUUACUUAUUAAAAUCGAAUUGCGUUCACUAGC
RNAcentral lists this long non-coding RNA (208 nucleotides) under Populus tremula. Its description in RNAcentral is "long non-coding RNA (PTRE_LNC003007)". Lineage: Eukaryota; Viridiplantae; Streptophyta; Magnoliopsida; Malpighiales; Salicaceae. The record is from RNAcentral.